CAGCAGCCGCGGGAAUACGUAGGUGGCAAGCGUUGUCCGGAAUUAUUGGGCGUAAAGGGCUCGCAGGCGGUUUCUUAAAUCUGAUGUGAAAGCCCCCGGCUCAACCGGGGAGGGUCAUUGGAAACUGGGAAACUUGAGUGCAGAAGAGGAGAGUGGAAUUCCACGUGUAGCGGUGAAAUGCGUAGAGAUGUGGAGGAACACCAGUGGCGAAGGCGACUCUCUGGUCUGUAACUGACGCUGAGGAGCGAAAGCGUGGGGAGCGAACAGGAUUAGAUACCCCUGUAGUCCCUGUCUCUUAUAA
Molecule: ribosomal RNA, 301 nt
Filed under: uncultured bacterium
Lineage: Bacteria
Description: partial 16S ribosomal RNA
Rfam family: Bacterial small subunit ribosomal RNA
Source: RNAcentral